UGGGAAUAUUGCACAAUGGGCGAAAGCCUGAUGCAGCGACGCCGCGUGAGGGAUGACGGCCUUCGGGUUGUAAACCUCUUUCAGCAGGGAAGAAGCGAAAGUGACGGUACCUGCAGAAGAAGCGCCGGCUAACUACGUGCCAGCAGCCGCGGUAAUACGUAGGGCGCAAGCGUUGUCCGGAAUUAUUGGGCGUAAAGAGCUCGUAGGCGGUUAGUCGCGUCUGCUGUGAAAACUCGAGGCUCAACCUCGGGCUUGCAGUGGGUACGGGCUGACUAGAGUGCGGUAGGGGUGACUGGAAUUCCUGGUGUAGCGGUGGAAUGCGCAGAUAUCAGGAGGAACACCGAUGGCGAAGGCAGGUCACUGGGCCGCAACUGACGCUGAGGAGCGAAAGCAUGGGGAGCGAACAGGAUUAGAUAGCCCUGGUAGUCCAUGCCGUAAACGUUGGGCACUAGGUGUGGGUCCAUUCCACGGAUUCCGUGCCGCAGCAAAGCGCAUUAAGUGCCCCGCCUGGGGAGUACGGCCGCAAGCUAAAACUCAAAGGAAUUG
RNAcentral lists this ribosomal RNA (546 nucleotides) under uncultured bacterium. RNAcentral describes it as "partial 16S ribosomal RNA". It matches the Rfam family "Bacterial small subunit ribosomal RNA", at positions 356 to 912 of the family's 1533-position model. The record is from RNAcentral.